Molecule: non-coding RNA, 72 nt
Filed under: unclassified sequences
Source: RNAcentral
UUGGGCUAUGGUGGCGGUACCGGAAACGGCCGCAAAGGCUUUAAGCAGCCUUGAGACACCUACGGCCCAUUU